AUUAACGCUGGCGGCGUGCCUAAUGCAUGCAAGUCGAACGGGGUCCCUUCGGGGGUACCCGUGGCGGACGGGUGAGGAACACGUGGGGAACCUGCCCAUUGGUGGGGGGUAGCCCGUGGAAACGCGGGGUAAUUCCGCAUACGCUGGCCUGGGGGUAGCCCGGGCCAGGAAAGGGUCUUCGGACUCGCCGAUGGAGGGGCCUGCGUCCGAUUAGCUGGUUGGUGGGGUAACGGCCUACCAAGGCGGUGAUCGGUAGCUGGUCUGAGAGGACGGCCAGCCACAGGGGGACUGAGACACGGCCCCCACUCCUACGGGAGGCAGCAGCAAGGAGUUUUCCGCAAUGGGCGAAAGCCUGACGGAGCAACGCCGCGUGGGGGAUGACGCCCUUCGGGGUGUAAACCCCUUUUCUUGGGGACGAAGCAGUGACGGUACCAGAGGAAGAAGGCCCGGCUAACUACGU
Molecule: ribosomal RNA, 460 nt
Filed under: uncultured bacterium
Lineage: Bacteria
Description: bacterial SSU rRNA
Rfam family: Bacterial small subunit ribosomal RNA
Source: RNAcentral